GUGCUUGCUUGGGCAGCACAUACACUAACAUUAGAACAAUACAGAGGACAUUAGCAUGGCCCCUGCACAAGGAUGACACACAAAUUCAUAAAGUGUUACAUACUUUU
This 107-nucleotide small nuclear RNA is filed under the name Tursiops truncatus (common bottlenose dolphin). The record is from RNAcentral. Lineage: Eukaryota; Metazoa; Chordata; Mammalia; Artiodactyla; Delphinidae. RNAcentral also lists the same sequence under 1 other name.